This 71-nucleotide transfer RNA is filed under the name Loxodonta africana (African savanna elephant). It matches the Rfam family "tRNA". Rfam says of the family: Transfer RNA (tRNA) molecules are approximately 80 nucleotides in length. Their secondary structure includes four short double-helical elements and three loops (D, anti-codon, and T loops). Lineage: Eukaryota; Metazoa; Chordata; Mammalia; Proboscidea; Elephantidae. The record is from Rfam by way of RNAcentral.
GCAGUGGUGGUUCAGUGGCAGAAUUCUCGCCUUCCACGUGGGAGACCUGGGUUCGAUUCCCGGCCAACGUG